AUGAAGACGUCGGCGAUCAUACCGAGUUGCAGCGGCGACAUCGGGCUAUGGGACGGGAGAUAUAUAACGAAGGAGGAGGGGUGGAUUGUGAAAAACCAUAGGCACCGGAUGAAGUUUUGGAUGAUACAAAUAAUAAAUUUGGAAAAUACGAAACGGCUUCGGCGACCCAACUUGUCGGUGGUGCCAAAGUACACGGGCGAGUAUAAGAAGAUUGUAGAGGGGCGCUACGCAUCCACGCCAAUGUUGCACAAGGCGUUGGCGAUCCAACCGAGUUGUGAUGAAGCCAUCAAGCUAUGGAGCGGAAGACAGAUAACGGAGGAGAAGGGACGGGUUGUGAAAAAUCAUGACCACCGGAUGGGGUUUUGGGUGGCUGAUAGUACCAACAAUAGUUUUGGAAAAUACCAAACAGCUUUGGAUUCAAAUUUACACGCCGACGCCUGGUCAAAAAGAAAAAGACCACCUGCAGCCGAGAGGCUAGAUAGCCAAUGCCCACGCAACCUCUACAGUCUACAGACGACAGGCGCUCCGGCACUACCGUCCAACCAACCACACCAACCCACCGCCAUGUCACUCCGGCGCCUGCUAGGCUUCUCCGCCACCGUCUCCGGCCGCCUCCCCCUCCGCCGCUGCCUCUCCACCGCCGCCGCACCGCACCCACCAUUGCCCCGCUCCCCCUCCACCGCCGCCUCCGCCUCGAACCCGUCGCGCCGCCACUCCCUUCCCACCGCCGCCGCUUCGCACCCACCAUGGGGCCGCCCCCUCUCCACCGCCGCCCCCAAGCACCCUCCAUGGGCCAUGAUUGACUACAACUCCCUCGUCGACGAAUCGUUGGCGGCGCCGGGCGCGUGCUUCGGCCCCGUCGAGCCUCCGCUCGUCUCCCGCAUCACCGCCCCGGCGCACCUCCUCAACCCCAGGGAGCGCCCCGCCGCCGACAGCAGCGUCGUCCAACUCGUCACCGGCCACGUCAACGCCGCCAGCGGCGACGGCCACCUCCUCCUCACCUGCUACGACAUCCUAGGGGAGGGUCCCCGCGAAUCCUGGAACGGAAACGCCGACGUCGAGGCCGAGCGCUGCAUCUGCAACCCUAUCAGCGGCGAGGUGCUCCGCCUCCCGUACCCCGGCGGUCCCGCCGGGUCCAGGAAGAACCUGGGCCACCGCCACAUGGGCCUCCUCACCCAAGUCGGCGGCGGUUGCGGGCACGGCCCCCCUGACAGGUUCGCCGUCGCCGACAUCGUCAGCCAGCGCGACCGCAUCGUCGAUCGGUUCCUCCCGGAGGUAGGCAGGUGGGAUCUGCUUCUUGGCGUACCAUGCCAGCCGCCGCCUGCGUGGGAGAUGGAGAUGGACCAAGAGACGGUGGCCUUCGCUGGCCGCCUCUGGUGGGUCGACCUGACCUGCGGCGCCGUCUCCAUGGACCCGUUCAGCAACCAGCCGGAACUCCGCUUCGUCCCGCUGCCGAAUGGCACCUCGCUCACCUUCAUUCUCAUGGAACACAAAGACUCGAGCGCGGAGCAUCUUGCCCAGUUCAGGCGGGAGGUGGCCAAGUACCGGCGCAUCGGCGUCAGCGAGGGGAGGCUGCGCUUCCUUGACGCGUCCAUUCACGACCCGUUCCUCCUCAGCUCCUAUGUGCUCGACGACGAGGGCAGGAGCUGGACGCUGGAGCACCAGGUGGAGCUCAGGAAGGUCUUGGAGGAUGGAGGCCACCCGUGGGAACAGGGGAAGAGGCCGGCGCAGAUCGCCGUCAUCGACCCGCUCAACGCCGACAUCAUCUACAUCACCGUCGGCGAGCAGAAGCACAUCGUCGCCGUGGACAUUUACCAGGAGAAGGUGAUUGGGAGCUCUCCGCUUCAAAACCAAUACCAUUCGCUUGUACCAUGCGUUCUUCCACCCUGGCUUGGAUCAAGCCAGAUCCCUACGGCAGAUGUUGUGCUGUUGUGGAGAAGUCGAACCCCCGAGCCGCUCCCGCGAGCGUCCUCGGGGGAAACCCUAGCCGCCGCCCCUCGUCCUCCCUCGUCGACUUCUCCCCCCGCCGCCACCGCACAGCGCCGCCGGGCAAAGACCGGCCGGCGUUGGUGGCGGCGGGGAUCUUGCCCCUCUCCUCGCGGUUGGCGUUCGGCGCGGGACGGCGCUGGGCUGGGCGGGGCCCAGCGGCGUGGCGGAGGGCGUGCUGGGUGGCGGCGCCCCUGCCUGGCGGCGGGGCGGCUGCGGCUUGAGGCCUCUCCAACGCGCGGCGGCUGCGGCUUCUCUAGUGGCGGCACGAGUUAUCCCGGCGGCGGCUUGGCGGCGUGGCGCGGCGAAGCUCCGGCGAUGACUCGGCGGUGGGCUGGAGGGCUCGGGUCCGUCCAGUGGUGCUGCCUCCGCGGCGGUUGCGGCUUGGGGCCCUGGACCCCGAUCCGAUCUAGAUCUGGUGGUGCCGGGGUCUGGGCCAUGGCGGCUGGCAAGGGGAAUCGUCGGGGCUUGUCGGCCUCUAGGCACCAUGGGGGAACUGUCUCCAUGCCUUCAGAAUGGCCGCUAGGCUAUAAUCAGCGUCGUCCUAGCAACGAUUCUUCUGAGAAAGUACUGAAGAGGCUAACAUUGAACCAUUGUACAGGUUGCAGACGGAAGGUUGGUGCUUUCUUGAAGGAUGUGGAAGAAUCAUCUAAAGUUUAG
RNAcentral lists this ribosomal RNA (2646 nucleotides) under Triticum aestivum (bread wheat). RNAcentral's name for it is "partial small subunit ribosomal RNA". Lineage: Eukaryota; Viridiplantae; Streptophyta; Magnoliopsida; Poales; Poaceae. The record is from RNAcentral.